This 305-nucleotide ribosomal RNA is filed under the name uncultured bacterium. Its description in RNAcentral is "partial 16S ribosomal RNA". It matches the Rfam family "Bacterial small subunit ribosomal RNA", at positions 508 to 807 of the family's 1533-position model. The record is from RNAcentral.
ACAGCAGCCGCCGCGGGAAUACGAAGGGGGCUAGCGUUGCUCGGAAUCACUGGGCGUAAAGGGUGCGUAGGCGGGUCUUUAAGUCAGGGGUGAAAUCCUGAAGCUCAACUCCAGAACUGCCUUUGAUACUGAAGAUCUUGAGUACGGGAGAGGUGAGUGGAACUGCGAGUGUAGAGGUGAAAUUCGUAGAUAUUCGCAAGAACACCAGUGGCGAAGGCGGCUCACUGGCCCGAUACUGACGCUGAGGCACGAAAGCGUGGGGAGCAAACAGGAUUAGAUACCCCCGUAGUCCCUGUCUCUUAUAC